CGCCUCUCGUAGGCGUUUCGAAAAUGAAUCAAAACUUUCAACAACGGAUCUCUUGGUUCUGGCAUCGAUGAAGAACGCAGCGAAAUGCGAUAAGUAAUGUGAAUUGCAGAAUUCAGUGAAUCAUCGAAUCUUUGAACGCACAUUGCGCCCGCCAGUAUUC
RNAcentral lists this ribosomal RNA (160 nucleotides) under Trichoderma harzianum. Its description in RNAcentral is "5.8S ribosomal RNA". The stretch from base 33 to 160 matches the Rfam family "5.8S ribosomal RNA", at positions 1 to 128 of the family's 154-position model. From Rfam's summary of the family: 5.8S ribosomal RNA (5.8S rRNA) is a component of the large subunit of the eukaryotic ribosome. It is transcribed by RNA polymerase I as part of the 45S precursor that also contains 18S and 28S rRNA. Lineage: Eukaryota; Fungi; Ascomycota; Sordariomycetes; Hypocreales; Hypocreaceae. The record is from RNAcentral.